AGAGUUUGAUCCUGGCUCAGAGCGAACGUUAGCGGCGCGCCUAACACAUGCAAGUCGCACGAGAAACGGAGCAAUCCGCGGUACAGUGGCGCACGGGUGAGUAACACGUGGAUGACCUUCCCUGGAGUGGUGGAUAACCUGCCGAAAGGCGGGCUAAUACAGCAUAGGACCACGACGCUUUGGCGAUGUGGUGAAAGCGGGCCUCUAUAUAUAAGCUCGCGCUCCGGGACGGGUCCGCGUCCCAUCAGCUAGUUGGUGAGGUAACGGCUCACCAAGGCAACGACGGGUAGCUGGUCUGAGAGGAUGGCCAGCCACACUGGAACUGAGACACGGUCCAGACUCCUACGGGAGGCAGCAGUGGGGAAUCUUGCGCAAUGGGCGAAAGCCUGACGCAGCGACGCCGCGUGGGCGAAGAAGGCCUUCGGG
Molecule: ribosomal RNA, 426 nt
Filed under: uncultured bacterium
Lineage: Bacteria
Description: bacterial SSU rRNA
Rfam family: Bacterial small subunit ribosomal RNA
Source: RNAcentral